UACGGAAGGCAGCAGUGGGGAAUAUUGCACAAUGGGCGAAAGCCUGAUGCAGCUAUGCCGCGUGUAUGAAGAAGGCCUUAGGGUUGUAAAGUACUUUCAUCGGGGAGGAAAAAACAAAACUAAUAAUUUUAUUUCUUGACGUUACCCGAAAAAGAAGCACCGGCUAACUCCGUGCCAGCAGCCGCGGUAAUACGGAGGGUGCUAGCGUUAAUCAGAAUUACUGGGCGUAAAGAGCACGUAGGUGGUUUUUUUAAGUUAGAUGUGAAAUCCCUGGGCUUAACCUGGAACUGCAUUUUGAAACUGAAAUACUAGAGUAUCGUAGAGGGAGGUAGAAUUCUAGGUGUAGCGGUGAAAUGCGUAGAUAUCUGGAGGAAUACCUGUGGCGAAAGCGGCCUCCUAAACGAAUACUGACACUGAGGUGCGAAAGCGUGGGGAGCAAACAGGGAUUAGAUACC
Molecule: ribosomal RNA, 455 nt
Filed under: uncultured bacterium
Lineage: Bacteria
Description: bacterial SSU rRNA
Rfam family: Bacterial small subunit ribosomal RNA
Source: RNAcentral